Molecule: long non-coding RNA, 101 nt
Organism: Lynx canadensis (Canada lynx)
Lineage: Eukaryota; Metazoa; Chordata; Mammalia; Carnivora; Felidae
Exons: 3
Source: RefSeq, a predicted model, not a curated record
GGGGGUUACUGUGAGAAGCGAGAUGACACAUGUAAAGCCCUGAACAUAGUCUUAGAUUCACAGGAAGGGCCCGUUAACCCAGGCUCAGAUUCAAAGGAAGG